This 429-nucleotide ribosomal RNA is filed under the name uncultured bacterium. RNAcentral's name for it is "bacterial SSU rRNA". It matches the Rfam family "Bacterial small subunit ribosomal RNA", at positions 366 to 793 of the family's 1533-position model. The record is from RNAcentral.
GGUCAAUGGAGGGAACUCUGAACCAGCCAUCCCGCGUGUAGGAAGACGGCCUUAUGGGUUGUAAACUACUUUUAUACAGGAAGAAACGUACCCUCGUGAGGGUGCCUGACGGUACUGUAGGAAUAAGCACCGGCUAACUCCGUGCCAGCAGCCGCGGUAAUACGGAGGGUGCGAGCGUUAUCCGGAUUUAUGGGUUUAAAGGGUCCGUAGGCGGAUUAAUAAGUCAGUGGUGAAAUCCCAUCGCUUAACGAUGGAACUGCCAUUGAUACUGUUAGUCUUGAAUGAGGGUGCAGUGGUUGGAAUGUGUAGUGUAGCGGUGAAAUGCAUAGAUAUUACACAGAACACCGAUUGCGAAGGCAGAUCACUAACCCUAAAUUGACGCUGAGGGACGAAAGCGUGGGGAGCGAACAGGAUUAGAUACCCUGGUAG